This 447-nucleotide ribosomal RNA is filed under the name uncultured bacterium. RNAcentral describes it as "bacterial SSU rRNA". It matches the Rfam family "Bacterial small subunit ribosomal RNA", at positions 329 to 793 of the family's 1533-position model. The record is from RNAcentral.
UUCCAGACUCCUACGGGAGGCAGCAGUGGGGGAUAUUGCACAAUGGGCGCAAGCCUGAUGCAGCGACGCCGCGUGAGCGAAGAAGUAUUUCGGUAUGUAAAGCUCUAUCAGCAGGGAAGAAAAUGACGGUACCUGACUAAGAAGCUCCGGCUAAAUACGUGCCAGCAGCCGCGGUAAUACGUAGGGGGCGAGCGUUAUCCGGAUUCACUGGGUGUAAAGGGAGCGUAGACGGCCAUGCAAGCCAGGGGUGAAAGCCCGGGGGCCAACCCCGGGACUGCCCUUGGAACUGCAUGGCUGGAGUGCGGGAGGGGCAGGCGGAAUUCCUGGUGUAGCGGUGAAAUGCGUAGAUAUCAGGAGGAACACCGGCGGCGAAGGCGGCCUGCUGGACCGCGACUGACGUUGAGGCUCGAAAGCGUGGGGAGCGAACAGGAUUAGAUACCCUAGUAC